CAUUUUUUUGUUCACGUGAGUUUGCGGCGUUUGUCCUGUUUAUCCUAAAGUUGGAUUCGGACCGUGGCUCAGCUGGUCCCUUCUGAUCCUGCCUUUACAGUCAACUGUAGCGAUCUGGGCUGACAUCCGAAACCGCGUACAAUCGCGUUCCGGCGAUCGGCCAACAUGAAAUUGGGCGACUACUCCGCUACACGAGACUGGUCUAGGACAAGGUCGAAGUUGUUGAUAACGAAGUUCCUGUUCUUGAUCAGCUUUCUUGGACACAGAGGCAUCGGCAGCAGCAGCGGGAAGGCUUGGCUCCCUUCUUGAUAGCGGGGGCAGACACCUUGCAGAGCGGCCUGGCGCAGGUCCCGCCGGAGCCGGUUGCUGUUGAUGAUGUUUUUCAGGGUGUGGCGUGGGUUGUGCUUCAGCGUCACCUUCACGGUGGCCUUGGGCGGCUUGGUCUUUGGCCAUUUGUAGACGACGGCAUGAUUAUCAGCGACUUCUGGUGGACCAGUUCCGGCGCUUCAGUAGGAACGAUGGGAUGAAGAAUCGGCAUCUCGCCCGCGACGUUGAUCAAUUUUCCGGGGACUUCGAAAGGUUACAGCAAAACACUUUGGUGGCAUCAUAAUCAGGAUCGCUAAGGGCAAGGGCGAUGACGAACACCGUUACGAUGCUAGCAGGUGCCUCCAUGGCUCAGUUGGUUUCGGUUCGGAAUGAAGCAUUGCCGGUGUCGAAUUGCACGCUGGUCUUCCGUAUCCGCCUCUCGCCCAAGUUUGUAGCAGGAGCAUUUGAUCUGACCGCCUGGAUUGGGAGCAGAUCAUGAUGGACAUCCGGCCCGAAACGGGGUACGAAUGAAACCGAUGAUUUCAAGCCGAUUGAUGUGGAUUUUGUUUCUACUUUUCCAA
Long non-coding RNA from Culex pipiens pallens (northern house mosquito), 887 nucleotides. RefSeq lists it as uncharacterized. The record is from RefSeq and is a predicted model, not a curated record. The transcript is spliced from 3 exons. NCBI's taxonomy places the organism in Eukaryota, Metazoa, Arthropoda, Insecta, Diptera, Culicidae.